UACAUAAAUUCAGCUAAGAUGUUUACAAUGAAUAUUGGCAAGCUGUAUUUAUAUUAGAGGAAAACUGAACAUAUGUUGUUAAAGAACCACACCAGCUACAAAAAUUGCAACCCUAUAGUUUUUUUCUUUUUUGAUUUAAUCUCAUCGCAAUACUGAUGACAACACUGGGACCAGAGAGGUGAGGUGAACUUGUCAAGGACCUCACACAGCAAAAAUUGGCCUGACAGGAGCCCCUCACAUUUGGAGGAUUCUUUCCGCACCAACAGUGAGUCCUAGACCUGCCUGUGCAUCUAGCUCCUGGGCUCAUCCAAAGAAUCCUGUACCUCUGAAUGGGUGGUUCUGAGCAGGGGCCUGAGAUUCUGUCUUUCACCUGUGUCCCAGGCUCAAGCCGUGAGAUUGCAAUGGUAAUGGUGCUGGGGCUCCAUUCAGCCUCUCCUGAUGCUCCUCUCUCCACCAGCCACCACUUUCUGCUCCCCACUGAAGAACUGGAGUCUUGUUGCAGAAGAAGGCAUGAUGACCAAGGGCUGAGAUCCUCUAGGAAUGAGAAUCUGGGUCACGCAAAGAAGUAUGCCGCUGAGAUCACCAACCUGGUUAACUAAAGUUGAUAGGCAUCUUUUUCUUCUAACGUUGCACCAAAAGAAGAGGUCCACUGGAGUCCUACAGGAGUUGUUCACAGAACUCAUACAAAGAAAGCAGAUCCGAUGACCCAAGGGAUGGGCUGUAGUGAUCAUUGUUAUAAGCCAC
Molecule: long non-coding RNA, 744 nt
Filed under: Fukomys damarensis (Damara mole-rat)
Lineage: Eukaryota; Metazoa; Chordata; Mammalia; Rodentia; Bathyergidae
Description: lncRNA (ENSFDAG00000030102.1)
Source: RNAcentral